RNAcentral lists this ribosomal RNA (870 nucleotides) under Triticum aestivum (bread wheat). RNAcentral describes it as "partial small subunit ribosomal RNA". The record is from RNAcentral. Lineage: Eukaryota; Viridiplantae; Streptophyta; Magnoliopsida; Poales; Poaceae.
AUGGUAGGCGGCGGCGGCGACGACGCCAGGUCGCGGACGCAAGCUGCGAGAGGGCGGCGGCAGACAGCAGCGUCGCUGCCGUUGGAUGUGCUGGUGGACAUUGCAGCGCGCACCGACCCAGCCACCUUCGUGUCCUGCGCCGCUACGUGCGUGGACAUGCGCUGCCGCGUCAAGGAAUAUAUCAGCCUCCGUGCCCCCCUCCGCCUACGGGACGGCGACCACUUCGUGCUCCCCCUCCUGCGAGGCCACCUGAUCUACCGGCACCGUGACUGGUCCAUGCCAAAGGAUGAGUUAUUUGUGGUGGACACCACCGCGCCAUAUGCCACCAAGCUGCGCACCGCCACUGGCGGUGGCAUCCCCCUAUCGUCACGCGAUGGUCUCGUCCUCGCCCGUGUGGGAGUGGCCAAAGAGCUCCGCGUGUGCGACCCGGCCACCGGCAGGAGCCUGACCCUGCCGUCUGAACCGACGUUUCGUUGGGUGUCUGGGAUAAAUUAUGUCUUGAUCGUCGGCGACCAUGAUGAGGUACCGCCCUCACCUGAAGCUCUGCACCUACUCGUCGGAGCACAGAGUGUGGGAUGCUACACUGAGAUUCAGGUCCCUAGCCUGCAAGGCAGCCGCUUGCAGGGACGCCUCAACAAGCCUCUGGUUGUCGGGGGCGCUGUGCACUGGUUUUGCCUGACCGACACCGGUACCUAUGUCCUGAAGCUCAAUGUCAGAGCGGUAAAGGUGAUGGUGACAAAGCUCCCAAAGAGCUUCCCGCACAAUGGGCGGCACCCAAAACUUCUGGCAACAUCAUCGACGGAUGGGAAUGUGCUCUUGCUCGUCGCUCGUGAGGUGGUUAUUCUCGGUCCAAUACAUGACCGAGAAUAA